This 253-nucleotide ribosomal RNA is filed under the name uncultured bacterium. RNAcentral describes it as "partial 16S ribosomal RNA". It matches the Rfam family "Bacterial small subunit ribosomal RNA", at positions 524 to 776 of the family's 1533-position model. The record is from RNAcentral.
UACAGGGGGUGCAAACGUUGCUCGGAAUCAUUGGGCGUAAAGCGCACGUAGGCGGUCUGUUAUGUCGGAUGUGAAAGCCCUUGGCUUAACUGAGGAAGUGCAUCCGAAACUGGCAGGCUAGAGUACUAAAGAGGGUCGCGGAAUUCCCGGUGUAGAGGUGAAAUUCGUAGAUAUCGGGAGGAACACCGGUGGCGAAGGCGGCGACCUGGGUAGAUACUGACGCUGAGGUGCGAAAGCCAGGGGAGCAAGCGGG